This 65-nucleotide transfer RNA is filed under the name Neohirasea japonica. Its description in RNAcentral is "tRNA-Pro". The record is from RNAcentral. Lineage: Eukaryota; Metazoa; Arthropoda; Insecta; Phasmatodea; Lonchodidae.
CAAAGGGUAGUUUAUUUAAAAUAAUAGUUUUGGGAAUUAUUGAUAAGUUUUUUACUUUCCUUUGA